UAGAAGAUGGUGUAAUGGGAGCACUAGGAGUUUUGAUCUCCUGAGUUUGGGUUCGAGCCCCUCUCUUCUAA
RNAcentral lists this transfer RNA (71 nucleotides) under Saurida umeyoshii. Its description in RNAcentral is "tRNA-Gln". It matches the Rfam family "tRNA". From Rfam's summary of the family: Transfer RNA (tRNA) molecules are approximately 80 nucleotides in length. Their secondary structure includes four short double-helical elements and three loops (D, anti-codon, and T loops). The record is from RNAcentral. Lineage: Eukaryota; Metazoa; Chordata; Actinopteri; Aulopiformes; Synodontidae.